RNAcentral lists this ribosomal RNA (405 nucleotides) under uncultured bacterium. Its description in RNAcentral is "bacterial SSU rRNA". It matches the Rfam family "Bacterial small subunit ribosomal RNA", at positions 355 to 776 of the family's 1533-position model. The record is from RNAcentral.
UGGGGAAUAUUGCGCAAUGGGGGAAACCCUGACGCAGCAACGCCGCGUGAUUGAAGAAGGCCUUCGGGUUGUAAAGAUCUUUAAUUCGGGACGAAAUUUGACGGUACCGAAAGAAUAAGCUCCGGCUAACUACGUGCCAGCAGCCGCGGUAAUACGUAGGGAGCAAGCGUUAUCCGGAUUUACUGGGUGUAAAGGGCGCGCAGGCGGGCCGGCAAGUUGGAAGUGAAAUCCGGGGGCUUAACCCCCGAACUGCUUUCAAAACUGCUGGUCUUGAGUGAUGGAGAGGCAGGCGGAAUUCCGUGUGUAGCGGUGAAAUGCGUAGAUAUACGGAGGAACACCAGUGGCGAAGGCGGCCUGCUGGACAUUAACUGACGCUGAGGCGCGAAAGCGUGGGGAGCAAACAGG